CGUAGGUAACCUGCCUGGUAGCGGGGGAUAACUAUUGGAAACGAUAGCUAAUACCGCAUAAUAGCAGUUAUUGCAUGAUAACUGUUUGAAAGGUGCAAUUGCAUCACUACCAGAUGGACCUGCGUUGUAUUAGCUAGUUGGUGGGGUAACGGCUCACCAAGGCGACGAUACAUAGCCGACCUGAGUGGGUGAUCGGCCACACUGGGACUGAGACACGGCCCAG
RNAcentral lists this ribosomal RNA (223 nucleotides) under uncultured bacterium. RNAcentral describes it as "partial 16S ribosomal RNA". It matches the Rfam family "Bacterial small subunit ribosomal RNA", at positions 116 to 334 of the family's 1533-position model. The record is from RNAcentral.